Molecule: ribosomal RNA, 460 nt
Filed under: uncultured bacterium
Lineage: Bacteria
Description: partial 16S ribosomal RNA
Rfam family: Bacterial small subunit ribosomal RNA
Source: RNAcentral
CCUACGGGUGGCAGCAGUGAGGAAUAUUGGUCAAUGGGCGUUAGCCUGUACCAGCCAAGUAGCGUGAGGGAUGAAGGUUCUAUGGAUUGUAAACUUCUUUUAUAUGGGAAUAAAGUGCGGGAUGUGUCCUGCUUUGUAUGUACCUUAUGAAUAAGGAUCGGCUAACUCCGUGCCAGCAGCCGCGGUAAUACGGAGGAUCCGAGCGUUAUCCGGAUUUAUUGGGUUUAAAGGGAGCGUAGAUGGGUUGUUAAGUCAGUUGUGAAAGUUUGCGGCUCAACCGUAAAAUUGCAAUUGAUACUGGCAUUCUUGAGUACAGUAGAGGUAGGCGGAAUUCGUGGUGUAGCGGUGAAAUGCUUAGAUAUCACGAAGAACCCCGAUUGCGAAGGCAGCUUACUAAACUGUGACUGACAUUGAUGCUCGAAAGUGUGGGUAUCAAACAGGAUUAGAUACCCCAGUAGUC